AGUGAACGCUGGCGGUAGGCCUAACACAUGCAAGUCGAACGGCAGCACAGUAAGAGCUUGCUCUUACGGUUGGCGAGUGGCGGACGGGUGAGGAAUACAUCGGAAUCUACUUUUUCGUGGGGGAUAACGUAGGGAAACUUACGCUAAUACCGCAUACGACCUACGGGUGAAAGCAGGGGAUCUUCGGACCUUGCCCGAUUGAAUGAGCCGAUGCCGGAUUAGCUAGUUGGCGGGGUAAAGGCCCACCAAGGCGACGAUCCGUAGCUGAUCUGAGAGGAUGAUCAGCCACACUGGAACUGAGACACGGUCCAGACUCCUACGGGAGGCAGCAGUGGGGAAUAUUGGGCAAUGGGCGCAAGCCUGAUCCAGCCAUACCGCGUGAGUGAAGAAGGUCUUCGGGUUGUAAAGCCCUGUUGUUGGGGAAGAAAAGCAGCAGGUUAAUACCCCGACGUUCUGACGGUACCCAAAGAAUAAGCACCGGCUAACUUCGUG
This 492-nucleotide ribosomal RNA is filed under the name uncultured bacterium. Its description in RNAcentral is "partial 16S ribosomal RNA". It matches the Rfam family "Bacterial small subunit ribosomal RNA", at positions 29 to 507 of the family's 1533-position model. The record is from RNAcentral.